UUCCAGCAGAUUCUUCAAGCUUCCAGCAAAUUUUUCUUCUUCCUCACCCAUCCAAUGCCAUUUUUCAUUCCACCUCCAUGAAAAUCAAAUAUUCAUGUGAUUUUUCCUUGUUUUCUUUCUAUUUCUUUUCUUUUCUUAAUCCUUCCUUCUCCUAACUUCUUGGGCACUGAAUUGGCAGCUUCUAACCCCAAUUUUCAGCACAUCUAAACCCUUAGAGAGAGAAAGAAAAAUCUCUCCUUGUUUCUUAUAUUUUCUAUUUCUACUGCACUUUCAACAGCACUUGGAUAUUUGGCUUCAAAUCUUCAUUUUCAAGGUUGAAAGGUAUAUAUUUUCAACUUUUGGAAUUUUGGAAUUUAUGGUUAUAUUUUCAAAUUUAUUUUCUAAUUUCUUCAAAUUAUUUUUCUUGGAAAGAUUAGGUUUUUGGUUGAUCUUCAUGCCUCCAAGCUCAUCCAGGUAACGAAAUUUAAAUUGGAGUAGUUGGCCAAAUGGGUUUGUGAAUUAGACUAGAAACUUAAGUUAAAUGUUAGGUUAGAGAGUAGAUUGCCUACUGUAAAUUCAUUAGAAUUAUUAGAUUUAAUUUACAACUUAAUUGAGAUUGUUAUGGUUUAUUGAUAAAUAUAAGUUUUAAUGGUAUUUCGGGACUACUUGGAUUAGGACCUUGUUGGUGCUAGUUUUGUCAGGUGAGUGAACUGCAUUUCAAAAUCAUUUUGGGAAUGUGAUUGUUUUGUACAAAGCAUUUGAAUGAUUUUAUACAACUUUAUCUUAAAACAAGUGCCUUAGGAACAAGCUUUUGCUAAAUGGUUUUAUGUUGUGAUAUGUAAUUGUUAUUGAUUCAUGCACCAUUUCAUUAUGAUAUAUAUAUAUAUAUAUGUUGUGCAUGAUAGUUGAUAUUGUGUAUGAUGACUAUAACCGUUUGUGUGCACGAUGUGGGGGGAUGCACAUGCCGGUGAUGAUGGUGGUGUGGGAGAUGGAUGAUGAUAGUGCCCAUGUGCACGAUGUGGGGGGAUGUACACGAUGGCACUGAUUGUGCACGAUGUGGGGGGAUGAACAUGAGUCAGGUGUGAUUAUGCUGAUAUUGGUGUUAUCUAUGCAUUUAUAUAUAUACAUCUAUGUUUAUGAAAUCAAAGUUCAUGAGUAUGGUAUAUGGUUUUGCAUAUGUGAAUCUUGCAUGUUGAACUUUGAAAGUUGCUAAGUAUUGUCAAAUUGGUGUUCAUUGCAACAAAGAAUUUGGCUGUAGCGAAAUGGAUUCUCGUUACCGCCAGAAACUCUCAGUGGUUGUGCAGUGGUGUCACUCUGACAGCGAUUUUGACCACAUUUCUAUCAGAAUUGGGCAAAGUAGUAAACACUAAAGUCGUAGCCCUAUCUCUUAGUUUUCUAAUGACCCAACAAGCAUGUCAAUUGGACCCAUGUAGUGGAAGAUAUGCUUGAAAAACUGAACCAUAUGCAAACCGAGAAUGCCUUUUGCUGCAACGAGAAACGUGCUGUCACGUUGCUACCUUGCUUGGGUUCUGAUAUAAUUUCCUUCACUCCCUUAUCUUCAUGAUUGAGCAUGGGUCUUUGCAAUACUAAGAGUCCAUUGGUCAAUGUCCAAAACAAGGGGGUUUAAGAAAGAAAUUAAACCAAAUUACAUUGUUUUCAAAACAAAUGCAUCAUGAUUUCCAAAUUCUUCCUAUUGAUUCCUUGUUCCCUUCUUAUGUUCACUCACUGAGUUUUAUACUCACGUUUUUAAAAUUCAUGUUUUCAAAUUUAGAGGUAGUUGGAACCUAGUUUGAGUCGCACACAUAUGCUCGUUUUCUUGGUAGGUACUAUGGCAUCUCAGUAGCUGCACCUUCACUAUGGUCACUCCGCUGGAAGUCUAGACUCCUUUUCAUUGAACAUAUGUACCUUGAUGUAAAUUGUUAAGAUAUAUAUAUCUUAAGCAAUAGACGUUUAUGUUUAUUAAUGUUGCCACUACGAGAUGGCACGAAUGACGUUAUUUUGAAUCAUAAAUGUGAACAUAUGGUUUCAAUGGAAAAGUAUUGAAAUACUUGUUGAUAAGAAUUAUGUAAUAUGGUUGUAAGAACGAGUGAUGAAAUCGAUGAAUUGAGUCACAUAAAUAGGCUUGCUUGGGCUUAGUGGGCUAUGCCCAUUGGGCUCAUGUGCAGAUCAUGGCUCGAAAAUUUGGGCUGUGACAAAGGUGGUAUCAGAGCUCUAGGUUUAGUCGAACCCUAGGGAUCCUUGUGUCUGUUAGCGGAGUUAUCAGAGUUAAUGUAGAGUCUUGUUUAUGGCUUGUGACUGCAGCACAAAUCAUAGAUAAAAGACUAUAUGAACUUCUAUUCCUAGUAACCUGCCCUUUUGCUAUCGUCAUGUAAAGGGUAUAAAUGGUAUCGUUGCUCGGGUUUGAGAUGCCACCCGACACACAAACCAUUAUUGGAAAGAUUUUGAAGCAAAUGCUCUUAAUGAAAGGUCAAUAUAAUGAUAUAUUCCUCUAACUAAGGAUGAAGGAAGGUGGAGCUGGACUGUUAGGUCCAUAAUAAUUUAUUCCUUUAGCGAAAUUAUGAUUUGAACCCAUGGUUAUCAAGGAAAAAAAAUUUAAAAAAAAUUUAAAGACUAUGGAUUGUAUUUAAGGUCAAUAUAGGGAGGACGUAUGAUAAUGGUAAUAAGAGCUGUAUUUUGACUGGAAUAAAUAGUGAUUGUUAUGAUUCGCUUGAGAUUUAUAAAUUUAAAUAUCGAGGAAAGUGUAAACCAAUGUUUAUGUGCACCGAGGUAAGUGCACUGUGUUAAUUGAGCUUGACAUGCCCCUAUAGAAAUGGUGUGGACUUUUGAAAUAUUUUAUAAGCAUAUAAGUGUUGAAUAUGUGUAUAGUAGCUUAAAUGGAGUUGGUUUUGAUUUCAAUUAAGUGAUUGCGAGAUUCCAAGGCUUGAAUUAAAUUAUUGUAGUUUAUGGUUAUAAUUGUAUGAAUUAGCUCAAGGGUGAAAAUCACGGAUUAUUAUAAUUGAUGGUAGUCAUGAAGUAAAAGGCUAGUAAAUGAUUUACUCUAAUAAUGAACUUGAAUUUUUGCUAUGCUUAGUGUGGAGCCAAAAGAUUAAAAGACUAGAUGUGGAUUUAGCAAUUUGAAAUUAAAUGACAUGGAAAUGACAAAUUUAGUCUAAGUGCCACAUGGAGUUCUAUACUAAGAUCGAUAUAUGAAUUGCUUUAAAGGUCAAUUUAAAAAUAUGUUUGGUUCAAUAUGCAACCUAUGAUGUAAAUGAUUAGUCUUGAAUGUGAUUUCACCAAAGGUAAGGGACUUAAAACAUGUGGAUUUUCAUAUAUGCUCUAAGAGGAAGCUUCUGCACCUUAAGCUUAAGAAAUUUUGAUCUUAUGACUGCAAAGGCAAGAUACAAAAAAUUUAUGUGAAUUGUUUGCCUUAUGGAUGUAAUUGGUUAAGAAUUGAUGAGUACAGCCAAGAUCUUAACAUUAAGUAGCGUACAAUUUGAUAUAUGUGUACCUAAGAGUAAAUUUGGAGAUCCUUGCUUAAUCAAUUUGCACUGAAUGUUGUGGUAAAGGUAUAUGAAUGUUAGUGGUGAAGUAUGUCCAAAGUGAGAUAUGUGGAGAUUAAUGUUCUGAUCACAAACUUGUGAUAGAAAGCUAGUUUUGCAAAUUGUGGUUUCCAUGAUCACAAAAUAUAUGGAGAUUAUCAAUAUGUAGGCAUACACUUAGAGUUGUACAUCUUGUGAUUCCCAUGCAUCAUAUGGAAUGAGAUAUCCCAUAGAGGAGUUUACCUGAUUUAUGGUUACAUGACAAUAGGCUUAGCAUGAGAUUGAGAGUGCCUUGGCAUAAAUGUGGAAUGUAUUGUGAAAGGUUGAAAAGCCACAUAUACCUUAACAAGGUCAAUAACAUGAAUGAGGAAGGAGAUAUGAAUGUUGAUAUGCUAAGCAUAAAGAACUUAAGGAUAAUUAAUGCAAUUAUACUAAGUUAGAUAGUAUGAUCCGAACUAAGAACACAAAUACCUUGGAAGAUUUUAAAAUAAUGCCAAGUAGGGUCAGUGAGCUAAAGUUUUAUCGGGCAUACAAUGAACGAUUAAAGUUAUGAGUGGCUUUGAAGAUAAGCCUUUGAUUGAUUAAAUUCUCAAUGGAACCCUAUUAAAGAAAGUGUUUAAGUGAUUUGGAAGUGUAUGGAAAAGCAUAAGAGAAUAUAUUAGCUUGACUUGCUAUAAGAGGUCAAAAUUUGGAUGGCCAUGAGUGGCUUAUGAGUAACCCAGCAAUGUAUAAAUAAACGUGUAAGAAAGCUAUGAUUGAUAGAUAAGGGUAGAACUUUAAUGAUGAGACUGUGUUCACUGCUUUAAGCAUUGAAUUGUAAAUUACGAACAUGUAUCCACCUUGUGAAUACCUUGAUGAGGUAAAUUCAAAAGAUUUUUCACAAUGAGAAAACAUUAAAGCUCAAGGAGCUAAUAGUUUUAUAGCGAUGUUAAUGCUCGUGACUGAUAUGUCACGUAGUACCAAGGUACGCUGCAAGUCUAAGAAUGUUUGGGAAUGUUGGUUUGAGGUAAUGACUACCUUGCCAUUACAUAGACUCGAUAAUGACACAGUCUUGAUACACUUGUGGAGGUAGAGCAUACAAUAGUAAAAAGUGCUUCCCUCACAUGUUUCAUUUCAUGUUGAGUAGUUAUCAAGGUAGAGUACCAAAUAAAGGUAAGCAAAGAUUGAACUGUGCUUUAAAUGCUUAGUGAAUAAUGGUGAUAUGCUUUAGUUAAUCGAUAUUACCCUUGGUGAGGGAAUAAAAGUGCACAAUUGGAUUUGUAGAGAUCUACUUGGGAAAAGAGAUGAUGAUUUGAGAAUUCAAGUACUCAUAUACAAAUAAAGAUUUGGUAAUGAAACAUGACCUAGAGAUGGAAUACUACAAUAUAAAUUUUGACUAAGAAAAUCAACUUAUAAAACACUUGGUGUUUGGAGAUGGUGUCAAUUAGUGGUUGACUCUUGUAUGAGAAUGGAAUAUUGAAAUCAACUUUGUGUAUUCACCACAAAUGAUAAAGCAUGAUCUAACCAACUAAGAGAAGAAAUGGCUCUAAACUUGAUUGUUGGUUAUUUUGAUUUUACAGACGGCUUAUUGGGCUUGAUAUGCCUAAGGCUAUUCGAAGUUAAAAUUUUUGGAAAUAUAUAUGUAUGGAUAUAUAUGUUGCAUAUUGGUAUAAAAGCUCAUGCGGAGUUAGUUAUAAUUUGAUUCGAUGUUGAUAUUCUAUCAACGGUUAUAAUGCUAGACAAUGAUUAAGAUAAUUUAUCGUUGAUUUUUGCAGUGAACAAGUUGAUUAUUAUGUUGUUAACUUAAAAGUAAGUGUUUAUACUUUUGGUAUAAGUUCAUCAAAUUCUAUUAUAUUGUGAUCAAACUUGGUGUUUUGAUAUAGCCUGAGAGGCUUGGCAUAUAAACUAGCUUAACUGUGAGCUAGAAAUUGUUAGGUUAUUAUGAAGUACACAAAUAGAGAAAUAUGACAUGAAUUUAAUAUCCUAAGGGGCAAUGGAAAAUGAUGUAUUUAUUUUGGUAUAGCUUCAAUAUAUAUAGUUUUGAUAUAUAAAGAUGUGGGGAAAAGUUUAUAGCUUACGCGUGAAGGUGUGCACUUGAAUUUGUGCACGUAAAAGUGUGAAAUCUACCUUGAUUAGCAUAAAGCCCAUGAUUCAUAAUGAAAGAUGAUGGAUUUAAUUUUCUAAGGUAAAAAGGGCUGAAAUAAGUUAAUUUCAGAAAGGUCUUAGUAAAUGAUUCCUUGAUUUUAAACUGUACUUAAGGAAAGAUUAAUGUCUAAUUUCAUCCUCAGAUUGAUAAACUAAUGAGGUCAUGAGAUCUGACAUUUGGAGUAAAUUUGAGAAAUAUCAAGUUAGAUAUGUUGUGGGUGAUUGAUGACGAGCAAAUUAGCUAUGACAUUGAAAAUAUAGAAAUGAUUAGUAAUCAAAAUGAGAGUUGGAAAGGAUCUUUAAAGGAAAAAUUUUGAGCAACUUUAAUCUUGAGAGGUUGAGUUAUUGAUUAAAGAGACUAGUUAAGAUUAUAAGGGAGUAUGUGGAAUGUCAUGAUUUAUUGAAAUGUCUUGUGGUAUAAAUUGAGAUUUAUCUAGUGAGCACUCGAUCAUGAAAGUAUUGGAGUUUGUUUUUGGGAAUAUGAUGAUUAAUGGUUACUAGAUUUGAAUCAUCUUUGAUUUUAAAACAUAAAUGAAAUGAAUAAAGAUCGUUUGAUCCUUAUGUAUUGUGAAAUGCUUAAAUGGAAUUUGUAUGGGAGAAUGAAAAAUGAAAUAGAGAUUGAUUGACAAAUUAAACCCAUAGUCAAUGGUGGAAUAGAUGCUUGAAUAUUGGAAGGGUUGAUAAAAGAGCAAGGUAGAGGAGUUACGAAUGGUUAAGUAAACAUGCAUGAUUGAUGAUUUAAGGAUGAUUUGAUUGAGGUGUGACCAGAGUUAAUAGCAUGUUUGAAUUCUCUUCAUAAGAUAAAGAAUGAUACCAUUUUGACCCAACAAGAGUAGUACACAUAACUAUAUACUAUGACAUUGUCGAGUUCUCUAUAAGAUUGGAAGUCGAUAUGAUGCAUAAGCCAAGAUUCUAUGUUAAGAAUGCCCAACGAGAGUGAUGUGGUAGAACUUUAGAACUUUGAUUAUUCACCCUACGUCGAUUUGAAUUCGAUGACGUAUUCAUUUUAAAUGGGGGAGAAUAUAGUACCUUGUAUAUUGAUACAGUGGCUAAUAAAGUUUAUGGAUGCCAAUUGAGGUUGAUUACUGAGUUAAAAGGGUAAUUCAUAAGUGAACCUGUGAAAUCUCGACCCCUAUAAACACGUAAUUAGAAGUAGACGCGAUAAUGCAGAUCAGGGGUAAUUUCGUAAUUUCUCUUGGUAGGUUUCUAUGAGUGGGUUUUUUUUUAUGCUAUUAAAGUCUAAAUAGGCCUAAGGAAUGAAUAAAUGAUGUUUACGAUGGUAAAUAAAUGAGGAAAAUAAAAAUAAUGAUAAUUUCCAUAAUAGGGGCAAAAUGGUCAUUUUGCACCUCGAGUCAAAAUUUUCAGUUUUCGUAAGCCUGAGUAGUUUAGAUCAUUGUGGACCUGGUCCCAACGUCAAAAGAAUAAAAAUAUUGCACAAAGGAUUGGAGAAGAACAAGUUAACUUGCUAAGGGGCAUUUUGGUAAUUACGUGAGAAAAUGGAUAAAUAUAAGGCAUAAAUAUCCAAGUUUCUAGCAACUUCUUCAAAUUUCCAGCAGAUUCUUCAAGCUUCCAGCAAAUUUUUCUUCUUCCUCACCCAUCCAAUGCCAUUUUUCAUUCCACCUCCAUGAAAAUCAAAUAUUUCAUGUGAUUUUUCCUUGUUUUCUUUUUAUUUCUUUUCUUUUCCUAAUCCUUCCUUCUCCUAACUUCUUGGGCACUGAAUUGGCAGCUUCUAACCCCAAUUUCUAGCACAUCUAAACCCUUGGAGAGAGAAAGAAAAAUCUCUCCUUGUUUCUUAUAUUUUCUAUUUCUACUUCACUUUCAACAACACUUGGAUUUUUGGCUUCAAAUCUUCAUUUUCAAGGUUGAAAGGU
This 7492-nucleotide long non-coding RNA is filed under the name Theobroma cacao (cacao). Its description in RNAcentral is "long non-coding RNA (TCAC_LNC006150)". The record is from RNAcentral. Lineage: Eukaryota; Viridiplantae; Streptophyta; Magnoliopsida; Malvales; Malvaceae.